UUUAUUAAGAAGAUGUACUCAUUUUAUAGAUACAUUCAUUCGUUACAUAUUAAUGAUAAUAUCAAUUAUUAUCAUCUAUAUCGGGAUGAGCCACAUUAGCGAUUCCAGUGGGAGGAUCAAUGGUGAUUCCAGUGGUGAUGGUGAUGUAGCACAGUGUGUGGGUGCAACAGUUCCCACCGCAGCUUUUGUUGGCUGCAGCAUGAAGCUCUUC
RNAcentral lists this long non-coding RNA (211 nucleotides) under Lathyrus oleraceus (garden pea). Its description in RNAcentral is "Pisum sativum (pea) long non-coding RNA (PSAT_LNC023147)". The record is from RNAcentral. Lineage: Eukaryota; Viridiplantae; Streptophyta; Magnoliopsida; Fabales; Fabaceae.